Molecule: ribosomal RNA, 465 nt
Filed under: Vreelandella stevensii
Lineage: Bacteria; Pseudomonadati; Pseudomonadota; Gammaproteobacteria; Oceanospirillales; Halomonadaceae
Description: partial 16S ribosomal RNA
Rfam family: Bacterial small subunit ribosomal RNA
Source: RNAcentral
CCUACGGGUGGCUGCAGUGGGGAAUAUUGGACAAUGGGCGAAAGCCUGAUCCAGCCAUGCCGCGUGUGUGAAGAAGGCCUUCGGGUUGUAAAGCACUUUCAGUGGGGAAGAAAGCCUUGGGGCUAAUACCCUCGAGGAAGGACAUCACCCACAGAAGAAGCACCGGCUAACUCCGUGCCAGCAGCCGCGGUAAUACGGAGGGUGCGAGCGUUAAUCGGAAUUACUGGGCGUAAAGCGCGCGUAGGCGGUCUGAUAAGCCGGUUGUGAAAGCCCCGGGCUCAACCUGGGAACGGCAUCCGGAACUGGCAGGCUAGAGUGCAGGAGAGGAAGGUAGAAUUCCCGGUGUAGCGGUGAAAUGCGUAGAGAUCGGGAGGAAUACCAGUGGCGAAGGCGGCCUUCUGGACUGACACUGACGCUGAGGUGCGAAAGCGUGGGUAGCAAACAGGAUUAGAUACCCUGGUAGUC